UACGAAGGGUGCAAGCGUUGUUCGGAAUCAUUGGGCGUAAAGCGCGCGCAGGCGGAUCAGCAAGUCAGAUGUGAAAUCUCGAAGCUCAACUUCGAAACUGCGUCUGAAACUGCUAGUCUAGAAUGUCGGAGGGGGCAGGGGAAUUUCACGUGUAGGAGUAAAAUCCGUAGAGAUGUGAAGGAACACCGGAGGCGAAGGCGCCUGCCUGGACGACUAUUGACGACGUG
Molecule: ribosomal RNA, 227 nt
Filed under: uncultured bacterium
Lineage: Bacteria
Description: partial 16S ribosomal RNA
Rfam family: Bacterial small subunit ribosomal RNA
Source: RNAcentral